RNAcentral lists this ribosomal RNA (253 nucleotides) under uncultured bacterium. Its description in RNAcentral is "partial 16S ribosomal RNA". It matches the Rfam family "Bacterial small subunit ribosomal RNA", at positions 524 to 776 of the family's 1533-position model. The record is from RNAcentral.
UACGUAGGGGGCAAGCGUUGUCCGGAUUCAUUGGGCGUAAAGAGCGUGUAGGCGGCCAGGUAGGUCGGUUGUGAAAACUGGAGGCUCAACCUUCAGAGGUCGACCGAAACCAUCUGGCUAGAGUCCGGGAGAGGGGAGUGGAAUUCCUGGUGUAGCGGUGAAAUGCGCAGAUAUCAGGAAGAACACCCGUGGCGAAAGCGGCUCUCUGGAACGGUACUGACGCUGAGACGCGAAAGCGUGGGGAGCGAACAGG